RNAcentral lists this ribosomal RNA (450 nucleotides) under uncultured bacterium. RNAcentral describes it as "partial 16S ribosomal RNA". It matches the Rfam family "Bacterial small subunit ribosomal RNA", at positions 354 to 796 of the family's 1533-position model. The record is from RNAcentral.
GUGGGGAAUCUUCCGCAAUGGGCGAAAGCCUGACGGAGCAACGCCGCGUGAGUGAUGACGGCCUUCGGGUUGUAAAGCUCUGUUAUAUGGGACGAACGGGCAUGGGGCGAAUACCCUCAUGCAGUGACGGUACCGUAAGAGAAAGCCACGGCUAACUACGUGCCAGCAGCCGCGGUAAUACGUAGGUGGCAAGCGUUGUCCGGAAUUAUUGGGCGUAAAGGGCGUGUAGGCGGCCAGACAAGUCUGUCUUAAAAGUGCGGGGCUCAACCCCGUGAUGGGAUGGAAACUGUCGGGCUAGAGUGUCGGAGAGGAAAGCGGAAUUCCUAGUGUAGCGGUGAAAUGCGUAGAUAUUAGGAGGAACACCAGUGGCGAAAGCGGCUUUCUGGACGACAACUGACGCUGAGGCGCGAAAGCCAGGGGAGCAAACGGGAUUAGAAACCCGAGUAGUCC